Molecule: long non-coding RNA, 257 nt
Filed under: Elaeis guineensis (African oil palm)
Lineage: Eukaryota; Viridiplantae; Streptophyta; Magnoliopsida; Arecales; Arecaceae
Description: long non-coding RNA (EGUI_LNC072484)
Source: RNAcentral
CUGGAGCUGGAGAUGAGAUCUGGCUUCCGUGGGAGUCCGGGCGGAGUCUUCCUGCAGCUGGAGUUGGAGAUGAGAUCUGGCUCCCGUAGGAGCCCGGGCGAAGUCCACCUACAAUCAAAGUCAGGGGCGAAGUCUGGCUCCCAUAGGAGUCCGGAUGAAGUUUACCAGCAGUCAGGGUCGAGGACGGAGCCCAGCUCCCAUAGGAGUCUGGGCGAAGCCUUCCAGCAAUCGAGAUCGGGGACGAAGCCCAGGCGGAG